UUGGAGGGCAAGUCUGGUGCCAGCAGCCGCGGUAAUUCCAGCUCCAAUAGCGUAUAUUAAAGUUGUUGCAGUUAAAAAGCUCGUAGUUGAAUUUCGGGGUCAGUAGGUUGGUCGUGCCACCGGUACGUACUGGUCUCACUGAUUCCUCCCUCCUGAUGAGCUGUAAUGCCAUUAAUUUGGUGUUGCAGGGAAUCUGGACUGUUACUUUGAAAAAAUUAGAGUGUUUAAAGCAGGCUAACGCUUGAAUACAUUAGCAUGGAAUAAUGAAAUAGGACGUUCGGUCCUAUUUUGUUGGUUUCUAGGAUUGACGUAAUGAUUAAUAGGGAUAGUUGGGGGCAUUAGUAUUCAAUUGUCAGAGGUGAAAUUCUUGGAUUUAUUGAAGACUAACUACUGCGAAAGCAUUUGCCAAGGAUGUUUUCAUUAAUCAAGAACGAAAGUUAGGGGAUCGAAGACGAUCAGAUACCGUCGUAGUCUUAACCAUAAACUAUGCCGACUAGGGAUCGGAUGAUGUUAAUUUUUUAAUGACUCAUUCGGCGCCUUACGGGAAACCAAAGUGUUUGGGUUC
Molecule: ribosomal RNA, 565 nt
Filed under: uncultured Glomeromycotina
Lineage: Eukaryota; Fungi; Glomeromycota
Description: SSU rRNA
Rfam family: Eukaryotic small subunit ribosomal RNA
Source: RNAcentral